This 1539-nucleotide long non-coding RNA is filed under the name Drosophila melanogaster (fruit fly). Its description in RNAcentral is "antisense RNA:CR42743 (Dmel_CR42743)". Lineage: Eukaryota; Metazoa; Arthropoda; Insecta; Diptera; Drosophilidae. The record is from RNAcentral.
AAAAUGUCAGCUGGAUAUUUUUUAUUACACAAUCACAACAUACACAUGCACACACACACACACAUUCACCCGCAUUCUGGCACCUACGAAUAUGCCCAGAAGCAGACUUUUGUUUUAGUUUCCGCUCGACACCAACCCACACACACAGACAAACAAUAUUUUCGGGCACUCCACACAUAAGCCACAAAGUAGUUACUUUUUAUGAUCCUCGCCCGCACACAUACUCAUAAUCGGGCUUGGGCCCAAACUCUGAUUGUUUUCCCCCAAAAACGUCUCCAAAGCUCGUAAAUAUUUUACCAGUUUGGACCGCUUCCGACUCUAGGAACUAAUUUCAGCUCUUAUGGAUGACAUACGACGCACUUUUCGGUGCUCCUUGGGUGCGAGAGCGAUUCAACAUCUACAUUUCGUUAUAAAUGACUUUCAAAGGGCCUAAACGUUGUAAAUGGUCUAAGUGCGUGUUUCUGGCCAAGGCAUCGUCAUCAGCAUUGAGUUUAAACGGACGGCGGCAAUCAAUAGGCCAUGAUAAUUUAUGACGAUUAUGCUGGCCAAAAGCCGAGAAAGUUGUCCAAGAAUAUGACUUGAUAUUAAACUUUGAUUUUGCUGUGACAUCUUUGUUGAGAACAUAAGUUCAUUUCUUCUGAUGCCUUCAUAAAAGAAAUAUCCAUUUAAAGAGUGGCGAAGGAAAGUAUCCAAUCAUAGUGAGUCAUCCACUGAAGUGUUACAUAGAAAACAGUCAACACCAAGAGAUAGAAUAACAAGGAAAUACGAAACUCAUAGCCACUCAAGGAAACGUGAAGUAGACAAGUGGACAGGACUAAAAAUAUGAAAUGAAUAGUCGUUUCCGUGGAAGAUGUUACCAUUAUCUGAAGUAGGGAAUUCGUGAAAGUUUCCACAUCGCCCAAGAAUUAGUAAUCUACUCACGCUGCAUUUGUUGUUGUAGCAUCCCUGGAAGAAAAGUAGUGGAAAUGCCAGGAAGAUCGCAUAAGUGACCAAGCUCAUCACAACUCCAAAGGUGGCAUCCCACAUCUUCCUCUGCUGCAGGCACCUCACAACAAUGGAUUCACUUAACAUCUCACCCAAUCCAAAGUAUACCAGUGCCGUCACAUCAGGCAUAACGUCAAACUGCAUACUUAUAUACUGAUAUAUAAUAUUUUCUAUCUCUCGACUUAGCAAGUUAAUGAACACCGAGCUGACGAUCAAUCCCAGCAAGGCAAAAAUCCAUAUAUUAUUGGGUCUCCUCAAGGAAUGAGUGGAGAUGAAGGUCAAGAUGCUGAGAGUCCAACAGGUCAGGAACAUAAUUAACCAGCUAACAGCUUUGAAGCCAUGAGGCAGGCAUAUGAUUGGAAGGAAAAACAAACCCAGGCAGCUUGUGUACUUGUUCCAGCCAAUCAGAGCUCGAUCAUUGGAUAUAACCGGGAUAAAGUUAGCCAAUACAAAGUAUGAUGGUAUCUGUAGAUAGAAAUGAUUACCUUUUCAUGGUAGUAAAUCAUUGAAGAUAUACAAAUAUAUUCACCAUUGCAAUCCUAUAUAUCACGUUUG